Molecule: ribosomal RNA, 501 nt
Filed under: Triticum aestivum (bread wheat)
Lineage: Eukaryota; Viridiplantae; Streptophyta; Magnoliopsida; Poales; Poaceae
Description: partial small subunit ribosomal RNA
Source: RNAcentral
AUGGUGACCAACUUCCCCUUCAUCAUUCAGGCUGACUUCCUCCUUGCAUCUUCAAGAGAGGCGAUAUUGUUCGAUAGUCCAUGGAACAAGGGAAUUCUGGAGUGUAUCCCAAGUGCAUUCAUGAAUGCCUUUGUAGCACUUGUCAAGUCCAGAACAGAUGCACCAGCAAUGACUAUUCCAUCGAUGUUCCAUUACCUGCCAGUCAGUCCUUCGAUGAUCCCUUUACUUGAGCCUGUUAGGUCUGGCAUCAAAGACAAGGUUCUCGUCGAGGAUAUAGUUCCAUGUGAGUCUCACACUCCACAGAAGAUGUUUUGCAAGCCUUGUGAGGUUGCGUGGCUCAAACCAGCAUUUUGGGAUAUCCUUGUCAAGGCGAGAGAGUCUGGAGUGGACCUUAAGAACCUGUCAACCCAUGGAACCUACAUUCUCAGCUCUCAUUUCGACAAGAGUGCAUACAACAGUGUUCUUACAUUUCUGGAUGUCAAAAGCGUGAGCCAUGAAUGA